This 503-nucleotide ribosomal RNA is filed under the name Penaeus canaliculatus. Its description in RNAcentral is "partial 12S ribosomal RNA". The stretch from base 134 to 503 matches the Rfam family "Microsporidia small subunit ribosomal RNA", at positions 752 to 1218 of the family's 1311-position model. The record is from RNAcentral. Lineage: Eukaryota; Metazoa; Arthropoda; Malacostraca; Decapoda; Penaeidae.
GUACUGAUAAAAGGUGAAAUUAAUUUUUUAGUAUGGGGAAGUAUGAAAAUAAAGCUGGAAUUGAAGCUAUUAAGGUAGAGGAAUGAACCAGGAUUAGAUACCCUGUUACACUUUACUUAAAUUAUAAUUACCUGGGUACUAAGCAGUUAUUAUCUUGAAACUCAAAGGAUUUGGCGGUAACUUAGUCUAUUUAGAGGAACCUGUCCUAUAAUCGAUAGUCCACGCAAUAUCUUACUUUGUCUUGUAGAAAUACAGUUUGUAUACCGUCAUUAUUAGAUAACUUUUAAAAAAUAUAGAGUUGUUGGGAUAGUUUAGCUAAUAAAUUAGAUCAAGGUGCAGCUUAUGUCAAAGAAGAGAUGGGUUACAAUAUAAUGAGUGUACACGGAUUAAUAAGUGAAGAUUUAUUAUGAAGGUGGAUUUAAGAGUAAAGGAAUUUUAAUAAGGUACCUUGACUUUAGCUCUAGGUUAUGUACACAUCGCCCGUCGCUCUCGUUAGUUAAAGC